RNAcentral lists this ribosomal RNA (145 nucleotides) under Trifolium pratense (red clover). RNAcentral describes it as "rRNA SSU_rRNA_eukarya". It matches the Rfam family "Eukaryotic small subunit ribosomal RNA", at positions 1229 to 1372 of the family's 1831-position model. Lineage: Eukaryota; Viridiplantae; Streptophyta; Magnoliopsida; Fabales; Fabaceae. The record is from RNAcentral.
UAUAGUAAGAAUUGGCAAACUGAGAGCUCUUUUUUGAUUCUAUGGGUGGUGGUGCUUGGUCGUUCUUAGUUGGUGGAGCGAUUUGUCUAGGUUAAUUCCAUUAACGAACGAGACAUUGACCUGCUAAAUAGUUGCGUGGAGGUNN